UGCCAAGUAGCUCGCUGGGCCUGGAU
RNAcentral lists this non-coding RNA (26 nucleotides) under Rattus norvegicus (Norway rat). The record is from RNAcentral. Lineage: Eukaryota; Metazoa; Chordata; Mammalia; Rodentia; Muridae.